RNAcentral lists this non-coding RNA (574 nucleotides) under Schistocephalus solidus. RNAcentral describes it as "Eukaryotic large subunit ribosomal RNA". It matches the Rfam family "Eukaryotic large subunit ribosomal RNA", at positions 3007 to 3401 of the family's 3401-position model. Lineage: Eukaryota; Metazoa; Platyhelminthes; Cestoda; Diphyllobothriidea; Diphyllobothriidae. The record is from Rfam by way of RNAcentral.
GUCGUUGCAAUGGUAAUCCUUUUGAGUACGAGAGGUAAUGCAGGGUCAGACAUUCGGUACAUUUGCCUGAUCGAGCGGCCAAUGGUGCGAAGCCAACAUCAGAGGGAUUAAGACUGAACGCCUCUAAGUCUGAAUCCCGUCCAGAGAUUCGCAACAAUAAAGUUUGGCCUGCUAUGUGGCCAGUACCUUAGUGUACCUUAGUGUACCUUAGUGUACCAUCAUAUAACAGAUCACUGGAUUAAGGGUAAUGGUGUUGUGCUACAUUUGAGUGCUUUCGCAUAUAGUUAUAUAGUUAUGGGCAGAUAUUGUACUUUCCGGUCGGGUUUCAUUCGGAUGGGACGAGCGUGCCGUACCGAACCUGGUCGGUCUGGUAAUGGUAUGCCAGAGCUGUGACCAUAACCACAUGCACCGGGUCAUAGUGUUCUGGGGGUCUACACGAUAUCCAAUUGUAGUAUGAGCGUGGGGGCACAAAAUCGUGUGUAGACAUUUAAUAUUUUGUCAAGGACACGUGAGUAUUCGAGCAGAUAUCACACUGUGAGGUAUUGAGUCCUAUCCCUACCUCAUGUAAUAAUUU